This 407-nucleotide ribosomal RNA is filed under the name uncultured bacterium. RNAcentral describes it as "bacterial SSU rRNA". It matches the Rfam family "Bacterial small subunit ribosomal RNA", at positions 29 to 418 of the family's 1533-position model. The record is from RNAcentral.
AGCGAACGUUAGCGGCAGGCCUAACACAUGCAAGUCGCACGAGAAUCCGGCUUCGGCCGGUAGUAAAGUGGCGGACGGGUGAGUAACACGUGGAUAAUCUGCCCUUCGGCGGGGGACGAACAGUCCGAAAGGAUUGCUAAUACCGCAUACGUCGGCGAGGUCUUCGGAUCUUGUCGGGAAAGAUGGCCUCUUCAUGAAAGCUAUCACCGAAGGAUGAGUCCGCGUCCCAUCAGCUAGUUGGCGGGGUAAUGGCCCACCAAGGCUAAGACGGGUAGCUGGUCUGAGAGGAUGAUCAGCCACACUGGAACUGAGACACGGUCCAGACUCCUACGGGAGGCAGCAGUGGGGAAUAUUGGGCAAUGGGCGCAAGCCUGACCCAGCCAUGCCGCGUGAGUGAUGAAGGCCUU